Molecule: ribosomal RNA, 253 nt
Filed under: uncultured bacterium
Lineage: Bacteria
Description: partial 16S ribosomal RNA
Rfam family: Bacterial small subunit ribosomal RNA
Source: RNAcentral
UACGUAGGGUGCGAGCGUUGUCCGGAAUUACUGGGCGUAAAGGGCUCGUAGGCGGCCAACUAAGUCGGACGUGAAAUCCCUCGGCUUAACCGGGGAACUGCGUCCGAUACUGGAUGGCUUGAGUUUGGGAGAGGGAUGCGGAAUUCCAGGUGUAGCGGUGAAAUGCGUAGAUAUCAGGAGGAACACCGGUGGCGAAGGCGGGACUCUGGGCCGAUACUGACGCUGAGGAGCGAAAGCGUGGGGAGCAAACAGG